AUUGAACGCUGGCGGCAUGCUUUACACAUGCAAGUCGAACGGUAACAGGCCUUCGGGUGCUGACGAGUGGCGAACGGGUGGGUAAUGCAUCGGAACGUACCCAGAGGUGGGGGAUAACGCAGCGAAAGCUGUGCUAAUACCGCAUGUGAUCUGAGGAUGAAAGCGGGGGACCGAGCAGCAAUGUUUGGCCUCGCGCCUUUGGAGCGGCCGAUGUCGGAUUAGCUAGUUGGUGGGGUAAAGGCCUACCAAGGCGACGAUCCGUAGCUGGUCUGAGAGGACGACCAGCCACACUGGGACUGCGACACGGCCCAGACUCCUACGGGAGGCAGCAGUGGGGAAUUUUGGACAAUGGGCGCAAGCCUGAUCCAGCAAUGCCGCGUGCGGGAAGAAGGCCUUCGGGUUGUAAACCGCUUUUGGCAGGAACGAAACGGUGUCCGCUAAUACCGGGCGCUAAUGACGGUACCUGCAGAAUAAGCACCGGCUAACUACGUG
Molecule: ribosomal RNA, 492 nt
Filed under: uncultured bacterium
Lineage: Bacteria
Description: partial 16S ribosomal RNA
Rfam family: Bacterial small subunit ribosomal RNA
Source: RNAcentral